UUACAGCAACAGCAGCAGCAGCAAUUGAUUGGAACCCAGUUGGGUAACUCAAGCAUGCAAACUAAUGAGCACAUGCUACCCCAGCCUAAGGUUUCACUCCAACAAACGCAGCAGAGUGCACCUAAUUUGUUACCAACUCAACGACAGACAUCCCAGCAGCCAGCAGCCAGCAGCAGCAGCAACAGCAACUGAUGUCACAGAUGCAAUUACAGUCUACUCAGCUGCAGCAACAAUUGGGUUUGCAAACAGCAGCCCAAUCAAUUACACCAAAAUAUGCAGCCAAGGCUUCACGCAUCAGGUCAACUAUCAUGUUCCUUGCUUCAAUCACAAAAUUUGAUAGAUCAGCAAAAGCAUUUGUAUCAAUCGCGCAGAGCUGUUCCAGAGACAUCAUCAAGUAUGUUUUUGAAUGUUUGCAGUUGCUUACUUUGUUCUUUCCUUGUUUCUUUCUGAUCUUGUGUUAUUUAACUAAUCUAUGCAAUUUUUUCCUCUGAUACUAGCACAUUUUAUCCUUGAAGCCUGAAAAAAAUCUAUUUUCUCAUAUAGCUACUAUAGUUGAUGCUAUUGUUUUUCAUUGCAUUUCUAUUACAGAAAAUAAUUUCCAUUCCAACUUGGGGGGAUUAAGAGAAUAUCUUUUUGAACUUGCACUACGUUGUCCUAUCAAAGCACAUUUUGCCUAGAUGAUUAGUUCUUAGCUAACAAAGACAAAUGCUACCAAAAUUAAUGGCACCCUUGCCUUCAUAAGCUGAUCAUGGGCACUGCCUGGCUUUUUAUGCCACCAGAAACAUUGUUGUUACUGUGGAAAACUCAGAAAUAAAACUGUGGAAAUCUAAGAGUAAAAACUGAAUGUUUAUUGAAAAAUUACACAUUAAGAAUUAUACAAGAACCUUAGUUUAUAUACAAUUAACUAGGGGUUCAACUGGGAAACUAAAUCUUCCUAAAAACUGAUCCUAUGAUUGAGGGAUUGUCUAUCAUUAUCCUUAAUUCUAGGGAUACAAAUACUUAAUUCUAGAGAUACAAAAAUUAAUAUACAGAUUACAAGAUUCCGUGUCACUGCUAAGUUUCCACUGCUGUCACUGUGCUAUUAUGUUACUUUUAACACUCACUCUAGUUAUUAUGCAAUGAUUUUGUCAAACCACAAAGCAAUGGCUGGAUUUAAUCUAUUCAUUUUAUCAACAAAUAAUUCAUGCUGUUUUAUUCAACGAGUUUUCAUGUUUGGCUAUAAAACAUUCUUCUGGAAAUAAGUAAACUGUGUUUUGUGUGCAAAGAGAAGUGACCAUUUUGUUGGUUAAGCUCAAAGAGCAGAAACAAAAUGCAUAAACUCACUCAUACCCCUCAUAUUCAUUUGAAUUUUAGAAUAGUCAGAUAUUUCUAGCAGCUUGUUUGAUUAUGUCGGGUUGGUGUGAUUCCUUUGUCCGACUUAAAUAUUGUUGUUCUUUCUUGUAAUCUAGCUUUCAAAAAUGUUCCCACCACUUAAUUUAACAAAAAAUUAUGAUUAGGAGAUUGCAGUCCUGAUUGAGAACAGCUAGUUACUGUUUUUGCAUCAAAAUAGAGGGUAAACAUGCUUGCAAAUGUCAGAGGAGUUUUGUUUGAAUGAAGAAUGCAUAACGAAUGACUAGAUAAGCAAGAGGGUGACAGCGAGCUGGUUCAUGCAUGCAUGAAAUGGUUAAAAGGGUGUCAAAACUCAAAAUUGUCUUAGUAGUGUUUUGAUUUAGUCUAACGGCUUUUAUUGAAACAUUAAAUUUGUGCUGUAGAAAUAAUUAAGUUCUAUAUGAACCCUAUAUUCCUUGAGUCUAAUUUGUUCCCUAAAUUUUUUUAGUACUUGAGUUUGACUCGCCCUUAUUUGCUUGACAUAUUUAUUUUUAAUGAAUAACAAGUCUGUAGCAGAAAAUAGUUUAACUUUUUUUAGGUUUUCCUUCUCAUGAACACUUAAACUUAUCUAUCAUUUACUCCUGUUCCAACUGAACUUCUUUUUUGUAGAUGGCAAAUGUAUAGUUAGCUUUUAACUUGAGAAACUCUAUAAGUAGCCUUGAAAAAUAAGAAAGAUGUUUGAACUUGGAAUUUGUCUCUCUGUGUCACUAUGGAAAGUCAAAAUUAAAAAAUUUUCUACUUUUGUAAGCGUACAUCUUAGAAUAUCCCAAAAGUAAAAGGCAGUGAAAACGGGGUGUAGGGAGCAUGUUUUUAAUGAGUAACCUCUAAAAUUUGGAUACGCAUGGUUAGUUGCAGAAACUAGCAAUAAAAUUUUCUCAUAUGUCAAUGUCCAAAAUGUUUAAUGGUUUCUUCAAAUGCCUUUCAGUUGUAACCCGUGGUGGGUCUGAUGGAAUUUUGGGACAUAGGAAUUGAUUAUUGGUUGCAUUAUGAACCCUGUCGAUAUCCCGAUCAAUGCUAUGUGUACUUUAAUUUGCUUUCAGAGUUGGUUGUUUUCUGCUCAUAAUUUACCCGUCUUCCAUAAAUUAUCUAUUUCAAUGUUCUGUUACAUAUGCAACAAAAUAAUGUACCUUCACGCGUAUGGAACAAUUUUCUUUCAUUUAAAUUAUGUUUUCCUUGCGUAUUCUUCUUCCUUCAUAAAUUUCCAUUUUUCUUAUGUGUGUAGAAUUUAUUUAUCCUUUUCUUUUAGCAUCUUUAGAUUCCACAGCUCAAUCAGGACAUGCAAAUGGGGGUGAUUGGCAAGAAGAGGUCUAUCAGAAGGUAAAAACUAUCUUGACUUAUUCUCCUAUAGAUAUUAUUACAGUUUCAACUUGGUUUUAAGAAGGUUUUAGGUGUAGGAAAGUGGUUCUGAAAAAGAAUAUUAGAGUAUGUUGGGAUGCAUCUCAUAGCAGGAACCAUAAAACUGAAGAAGUAGGAACUUAAAACAAAUUUGGUAAAAGAAAUUCAGACAUUUUCUGAAUUACUUAUUACUUUGUUAAUAAGAACUUGAAUUCUUUUGGCUUGUUCUUAGAAGAAAGAAAAUAAAGUUUAUUUAAAUCCUUCAGCUCUCUACUAAAGAUCCAUUAAAAUUGGUGAGCAAGAAACCUAAGACCAAGGGUAUCUUGCAUACUUGCCUUCAAAGUAAUCAUCAUUUAUCGACACCUUUGUUUCUUCUGUUAUUGACUAAUAUCAGUGCCUGCUAGUCGGAAAAUGGAAAAAUCUUGUUACUUUUCUAAUAAAUCAUGACACUGGGAUAAAUUGAGUGGUUUAAUUGUUGGUUAAGCAUUCUGUUCCUGAUUUUAUGUUGCAGAUCAAGGCCAUGAAAGAGACAUACUUACCUGAAUUAAAUGAGAUGUACCAGAAAAUUGCUGCCAAGUUGCGGCAGGUAUGUUUAUUCUUUUACAUAAUCAUAUAUAUUCAUUCCCUAACCUCCAAGGAGUGAUAGAACCCAUCUGCCCCGUAGUCUGCCACCCUGUGUCUCUAAAUAGAAUUUAGAGAGGACUUUACUGUUCCACAUUAGAAAGCUGUUGAACCCAUACCACUUUUGGGUUGCUACUCGAAUCCCCUUACCAUAGACACUGUUUAGUGGUUGCACUUAUGCAUAUUUGUUGUAAUAGUUGUUUGUAGUUUUACUGGCAUCAGUUAAAACAAUUUUAUGUGUACCAUUUUCCAGCAUGAUUCUCUUCCACAGCAGCCAAAGUCAGAGCAGCUUGAAAAGUUGAAAAUGUUCAAGAUCAUGUUGGAGCACGUUAUAUCUUUCUUAUCAGUUCCCAAAGCCAGUAUCGCACCCACUUUCAAGGAUAAGUUGAGUUUGUAUGAGAAGCAGAUAGUAAAUAUUUUAAAUACCAAUAGGCCAAGGAAGGCAGUCUCAGCACUGCAGCAAGGACAGCUUCUUCCACCUGAUAUGCAUUCCAUGCCGCAGCCACAACCUCAAAUUAAUCAGACACAGUCUCAUGAUAAUCAAAUGAUCCCUCAGUUGCAGUCAACGAAUUUACAAGGUUUUGUUCCAACAAUGCAGCCGAACAACAUGACAAGUUUGCAGCAUAAUUCUGUGUCUUCCUUACCUGGGGUUGCAACAGCGCAGCAGACCAUGUUAAAUUCGCUGCACCCCAGUUCCAAUUUGGAUGCGGGACAAGGUAAUGCCCUAGGCUCAAUGCAGCAGGCUGCUGCAGGACCUUUACAACAGAAUCCUGUGAGUACCUCCCAACAGGCAAAUAUUAACAGUUUAUCUUCACAAAGUGGGUUAAGUGUCCUGUUGCAAAACACGAAUCCUUUUCAGUCAAAUUCCAACAUGCUUCAGCACCAGCAUAUGAAACAACAGCAGGAACAGCAAAUGCUGCAGUCACAAAUGUACAAACAACAGUUUCAACUGCUUCAGAUGCAGCGGAAGCUGCGGCUACUGCAACAGCUACAGCAACAGCAACAAAAGCAGCUGCAUGAAAUGGAUGAUAUAAAUGACGUGAACAUGAGACAGGGAAUCGGUGUUAAUCCUGGGGUUCUUCAAGCAAAUCUCUCAACUGACCAACUUCCAGGUUAUUCAUAUGAGCAUUCAAAACCUAGUGUCCAAUUUCAUACAUCUUCCACCCCCCGCUCUUUCAGGCUCCAUUUGUCCGCACCUACUUCAAUCCCCCGUUGGAGUCCAUAUCCCUCGCCUGAGAACACUGAGAAAUCUAUCUAUGGCGCUUCCUCUCUGUCAAAUAACAAAAAUAUUAGUCAGCAGCAAGGAAAGAUCUGAAUUCCCUGCACUGACACACUUGGUAAUGGUAAUGGUCAACAUCACCUUUGCUUACUGUGUUCGAAAAUGCUAAUGAUGCUCACAGUAUUGCUUUAACAACUGAUUUUGGCAAGUCGAAGGUUACAGAACUGCCACAUGAUCCCCAGAGUUACCAUGGUUAGUGAAGCUUAAUUAAUUUUCAUUGUUCACAUUAUCUUUUUCAAUUUGCUCCUUUGGCUUGAUAUGUUGUUCAUGUAGUGAAAGAGUGGAAAAAAACCUUGAAAUCCUUCCUUUUUUUUUUUCCUUCUAUUUGACUUUAAUCUUCUAAUAUAGUUUGUUUUAGCUUUUGAAAUGAUGUUGGUUCUAUUACUAUUUUAUAAAGUUUCAGGCAAAACCCAUGUCACUUAAAUCAUUGGAGGCAUCCGUUGUGACCAUGGUUGAUGAGGCAAGCCUCUGCAAGUUGGUGUGGAUGUGGCCGCCACGAGCAAGGGUGGUUUGCGUCGAAGAAGUUUCUUUCCACAAAGUGGAAUGACUGGAGCCGAGAAAAUGAGAUUCUACAUGAGUGCACUGUCUAUGUUAGCUCUAAUGUUUUGGUUCGUUAUAAUAACAUCUGCAUGAGCAGUAGCAAACAAAUUUCCAAAGCUUUUUAUGCUUGGGUAAAAGAGGAAAGGCCCAUUGGUUAUAGCAUGGAUUUCUCUUGUAAGGAGUCAAGAUGAUACUAUUACGACAAAUUGUUGGCAGGUGUUUGCUUAUUUAAAGGUUUUUGAACUUGUUUACAUUCCUAUGAAAUAUAUUAGGAGAUGCAUGCAUCAAAGUUCAUGCCGUUUAAGCCUCAGUGCAUGCCGUUUCUGACCAAUCUAGCCAUGUAAUAACACUAGUUAUCUUACUAAACACAUAAUUUGACCCUAGCUUUUUUUAUCGAGUGACAAGGGUGUUUAGGGUUUUAUGUUUGGGUCGAUCUAAGGUUAUCCAAUACCUUUAGGUGAAGAGCCAUCUAGAUUAGAAAUACCUAGAUGUAAUAAGAGAUAAUGAUCACUUUUAUUUUUCAAUAGGAAAGAGAGAAAAAGAAGGUGAAGUUGGUAUUGAUUUGACGAAAUGUCACAUUUGUAGUCAAAUUUGCUAAAUAUUCAUUGAUGGAAGUGGACCCUUGCAUGUGCUGCCUACACAAAUGGUCCCUUUUUAUUGUUUAAGAUUCUUAAUCACUAAAGGAUUUUUCUUUUCUUUUCUUUUUUUUUUUUAAUAAUAUCAUUAUGACUAUGCUUAGAUUUUGUGGAAAUUUAAUUUUUUAGAUAAUUUUAAGAAUAUAUUUUUUCAUAUAAAUCUCAUGUAUAUACUUUUUUUUAUUUCAAAAUGUCAUUUAUUAAUUUUUAACAAAAUUUAAGAAAAAUUUUAGAUUUUAGUGUGUUUAAUUUUAAAAUUUAAAAUUUUUUUAUAAAUUAAAGUUUUAUGACUUUUAAUGUCAAAAAGUUAAAAAAAUCAUAAAAUUUAAUUUUAAAAUAUAAAAAUAAAAAUUUUAAAUGUUAAAAAAAUCCAACAUAAUUUGAGACAUUUCAAAAAGGAAAGAUUGAAAAAAAAUAGGACAAAAGGAAUAUGAUUUUAUUUUUAUAUAUUUUUCAUAAAAAUAGAAUCCUAAUUAAUACGAAUAAAAAUGUAAAAAAAAAAAAAAAAAACAACCAUAGAAAUCCGAACUUGGAAGGAAAAAAAAAAAAGAUUAAGUGGGCAACUUCAACAUGCAAGGUUCGCACUAGUAAAUUCCACAUGUUACCAUGUAAUUGUAACCUAACCAUUUUCACUAAAAGUACUACAAUAUUUUGAUUUUAAGUGAUUACUUUUGAUUAAAUGUGUAAAUAAUACAUUAAUAUUUUUAAGUUAUUCGAGUUCGAUUCGAAUAAAAUUUGAAUUCGGUUCAAUUAUUAUGUAGUCGAGUUCGAGCUCGAUUAGUUCGAUUCAUCGAUCGAAUCGAGUUCGAGUAUUUUUAUACUUAGCUCGAGUAACUCGCGAGUUUAAUCGAAUUUUUAUAUUUAAAUUUUAUUUAUUAUUUUAAUUAAUAAAAUAUCUCGAAUUCGAGUUCGAACUCGAGCAUAAAUAAUUGAGCUCUUAUCGAGUAUAAGAAUCAAGCUUAUUUUUAUAUAUUUUCGAGCUUAAUCGAACGAGUUCGAGUAAUUUAAAUUCGAUCACAAAUCGAAUUCAAGAUAAAAAAAUGAAUCUUGAUCGAAUUCGAACUGAAUAUCGAGUCACGAGUUGAAAAUCAAGCUAUAAUUUAAAUUUUUUAUUGUAUCGAUUUGACUCUUACUUUUAACAAUGAAUUUACGUGAUUGAACGAGGAUAAAUUUUACUUUUAGAUCUUUUGCUUCUUGUAAGCUUGGGACUUGUUUUCUCAUUUGAGUGCUACAGUAUAUGAAUUGAUGGUUCUCUUUUCUUCUUACUAACUGAAUUAUACCCAUUCAUUAAAUAACUUAUAGCUGUAACGGACACUAGUGGUCUUGCUUUUCUAUAUCAUUUUAUGAACGAUGGUAAUUUUGGUAUGUGGUCUAUUUGAAUGUAGCUGAUAUAUGAAGGUCAUGAUGGCCACUUUGUUUAUUUGGGAGAACUUUGUUAAAUUCCAAUGCCAUGGCUUCUAGAUAUUUGAAUGAGACAGUCCUGAACAAGUUAAUGAGGAAAAUCUUUUGGUGGUCAGAUUAUAUCCUGGUUAAUUUUCAUUUGAUUUUAUGUUAACUUCACAAUUUGGUCAUGGCAUUGUUUUAUUAACCAUGGAAGAUUCUUAUAUAUAUCCGUUUGGUUUGUCGAUAACUUACACAAUGCCUUGUGUGCAUAGAAUGGACACAUUGAAGAGGCACCUUCCAUUUUCUGGCCAAGAGGGUUUAAAUGAACUCAGGAAAAUCGCAGUAAGGUUCGAGGAAAAGAUUUUUACAGCAGCAAACAGCCAGGUAAUCAUAGAAUAUUGGCAUUCCUUAACCUGCUUGGAUGCAUUGUUGUUUACCUAUAUUUUGUUUGUUUGCGUUGUGUGUGUGUAUCUUUGUGUUUCUUUUUUUUCUUAUUCAUAUGUAUAGACAUGCAUAUGUCACGGAUCGAGACUUAAGCUCCGAACCCGCGCGGCUCUGGAACCUGGGCAUUCACCCUUUCGGCAUCCCAGAUCAGCCUUCCUGCCACGGUUCACACCCUUGUGAGGUAUUGUCCGCUCUGACCCCCUGACCUCACGGUUUUGUCCUACAAAAGGCGCUUCACAAGGCGGAGAUGGUGUGAACCCUUUUAUACUCCAGGGACCUUUCUAUUAUGUUCGAUGUGGGAUUCAGGACUCCCUCUUAGGUCCGUGACAUUUUCUCGUACCCAACCUCGUGACGCCCUCGUCACGGAGGCCGGCCACCCUGCCUACCUCCCUCGAGGUGCUUGGCGUGGAUCGAAAGGUUUAGGGCUGGCUCUGAUACCACUUGUCACAGGUCGAGACUUAAGCUCCGAACCCGUGCGGCUCCGGGACCCGGGCAUUCACCCUUCUGGCGUCCCAGAUCAGCCUUCCUGCCACGGUUCACACCCUUUUGAGGUAUUGUUUGUCACGGACCUAAGGAAGAGUCCUAAAUCCCACAUCGAACAUAAUAGGAGGGUCUCUGGGGUAUAAAAAAGUUCACACCACCUCUGCCUUGUGAGUCGCCUUUUGUAGGACAAAACCGUGAGGCCAAGGAGGCCAGAGCGGACAAUACCUCACAAGGGUGUGAACCGUGGCGGUCAGGCUGAUUCGGGAUGUCGGAAGGGUGAAUGCCCGAGUCUCGGAGCCGCGCGGGUUCGGAGCUUAAGUCUCGACCCGUGACAAGUGAUAUCAGAGCCAGCCCUAAACCGUUUGAUCCACGCCGAGCACCUCGAGGGAGGUAGGCAGGGUGGCCGACUUCCGUGAUGAGGGCGUCACGAGGUUGGGUGCGAGAGAAUGUCAUGGACCUAAGGAAGAGUCCUGAAUCUCACAUCGAACAUAAUAGGAGGGUCCCUGGGGUAUAAAAGGGUUCACACCACCUCCGCCUUGUGAGGCACCUUUUGUAGGACAAAACUGUGAGGUCAGGGGGGCCAGAGCGAACAAUACCUCAUAAGGGUGUGAACCGUGGCAGAUAGGCUGAUCCGAGACGCCGGAAGGGUGAAUGCCCAGGUCCCGGAGCCGCGCGGGUUCGGAGCUUAAGUCUCGACCCGUGACACCAACUGUCACGGGCUCCGACCUUAGACUCAGAAUCCGUGCGGCCUUAGGCUUGGAAUCUCCUCCUUUAUGCCUAAAUCAGCCUAAAACACAAGCGUGCGGGCACUAAAACAAUGGGAAUGGCUGAUUACGCAAGUUAAAGAAAAACAGGACAAAAAGACAGAAUUCUGGAAAUGCUCUUGUAUUCAUUGGUGUGAACCCUUUUAUACCCUAGUGACCUUCCUAUUAUGUUCGAUGUAAGAUUCAGGACUCUCUCUUAGGUCCGUGACAUUCUCCCGCACCCAACCUCGUGACGCCCUCGUCACGGAGGCUGGCCACCCUGCCUACCUCCCUCGAGGUGCUUGGCGUGGAUCGAACGGUUUAGGUCCGUGACAUUCUCCCGCACCCAACCUCGUGACGCCCUCGUCACGAAGGCUGGCCACCCUGUCUACCUCCCUCGAGGUGCUUGGCGUGGAUCGAACGGUUUAGGGCUGGUUCUGAUACCACUUGUCACGGGUCGAGACUCAAGCUCCGGGACCCAGGCAUUCACCCUUCCGGCGUCCCGGAUCAACCUUCCGUCACGGUUCACACCCUUGUGAGGUGUUGUCGGCUCCGGCCCCCCUGACCUCACGGUUUUGUCCUACAAAAGGCGCCUCACAAUGCGAAGAUGGUGUGAACCCUUUUAUACCCCAGUGACCUUCCUAUUAUGUUCGAUGUGGGAUUCAAGACUCCCUCUUAGGUCCGUGACACAUACACCUAGACUCCUUGUCAAUUACAUUAGAAGUAAAUAAGAAAGAAAUCCAGGGAGGAAAGAGAGCAGAGGUAGGAAAAAACAAAGAUGCUAAAUGCUAACUCAUUAUUAAGCAUGGUUAAUAUAACAUAUUUGAUAAUCUUGUCUUGUAUUUGAAUAAUGAAGUAAAGGCUGUUUACUCUAAUGCCGAAUGGAUUGCUAUAUUCAGUCGGAUUAUCUGAGGAGAAUAUCCUUGAAGAUGCUUACUAUGGAGAACAAGUCUCAGAAUACUAUGCCCAACUCUGGGAAUAACAGCAAGCCCCCUGAUCCAGGUAAUAGCAGGAAACAGCAUUUUGCUUUGAUGUAUUCUACAAGUAGGACAUUUUCCGUUUACAUGUCCUUUCUGUUCUUUAACAUGCAGAGUUGUUUAACUUGCAACAUUUAUGCACAUAUUAUUUCUGCAGCUAUUUGAAUGAAAAUUACCUAUAUUUUAACUCUUUUGUCCCCUUAACAAAGCGUGGUUGUUUUGGUGGGUUGGAGUUGUUUAAGGAUUGUUUUGAUGAGCACCCAAACAGAAAGGCCUAUUUGUUGUUCCCAUGAUUGUAGUCUUUCUGCGUGGGAUGCACCUCUUCAUGUGCUAGGCCUAGGAAUAAUUUUAUUAUUUUUUCAUGAUCCUCAUGGUAUGAUUCAAUUGCCCUCACAUGUUUUAAGUCUAGUUAUCUUUUUGAAUGAAUUACUGCUUCAGUAUUUUUGUUGUUUAUCUUGUUCUAAAUGUUCUUCAAUUCAGUUCUUGUGGGUUCUUCCCAACUUUUCUUUCUGAAUAUAAAAAUCUUGGGUAGGUUCUCAGGGCAUGCAAAACCAAGUUUACAGUCAAGGGCUAUCAAUUCCUAUCCAAUACAAAGUAAUCAGUCUCAAGCACGUCAACAACUGUUACCCCAGUGUGUUCCAAAUAACAUGUCAUCUGCUGGAGUUCAAAGUUCUACUGGUUUACAAUCUGGGAUGGCUUCUGUCUCUGAACCAACCCAGAAUUCUAUACCUAAUGUUGUUGGCCAGAAUUCCAACAUGCAAAACUUGUCUGAAAUUUCACAGAACUCACUGGGGCAAGGGAAAUCUUCCAAUAUUUUUACUAUUCAGUAGAGGCACAUGCAAGGAAGGCAAUGGGUGCUACGGCAACAGCAGCAGCAACAACCAUACCAUCAGCAGUUACAACAGCAACUUAUGAAGCAAAAGAUUCAACAAGGAAAUCUCCAGCCUUCACUUAUGCAGUUUCACAUGCCGCAACAGCAACAGCAAAACCUGUUACCACCUACUCAGUUGCGAUCUUGCCUGCAAUCUGGUAUGCAAACAUCAUCCGUUAUGCAGCCAUCUGCCAUGCAAUCAACUCCUCUUACUGGUUUUCAAAAGAAUCAGCAAUCUUCUCUACAAGAGUCAAUACAGUCCAUGCUUCAGCAGCAUCAACAGCCACAAGCGGCCACCAGUGUUGGUAUUCUUCAACAACAAACAGCAAUGACACUGCAGUCAAUGAUGCCUCAGCAGCAGCAACAACCUCCACAGCCACAGCAACGGCUGCAGCAGCCAAACAUAAUGGGACAACAGACAAAUGCUGCACAUAUAAAGCAGAAUCAGUUAAUUGGACAACAAAAUAGCAUUGCGGACAUGCAGCAGCAGAGAUUGCUAGGCCAGCCUAAUAAUCCUCCAAACCUGCAGCAGCAGCAUCAGUUAAUGGCUCAAGAAAACCUCUCAAAUAUCCAUCAGCAACUGUUGGGUCCUCAAAGUAAUAUUUCAGGAUUACGGCAACAGCAGCAGCAGCAAUUGAUUGGAACCCAAUUGGGUAACUCAAGCAUGCAAACUAAUGAGCACAUGCUACCCCAGCCUAAGGUUUCACUCCAACAAAGGCAGCAGAGUGCACCUAAUUUGUUACCAACUCAAGGACAGACAUCCCAGCAGCCACAGCAGCAGCAGCAGCACUGAUGUCACAGAUGCAAUUAAAGUCUACUCAGCUGCAGCAACAAUUGGGUUUGCAAUAGCAGCCCAAUCAAUUACACCAAAAUAUGCAGCCAAGGUUUCAUGCAUCAGGUCAACUAUCAUGUUCCCUGCUUCAAUCACAAAAUUUGAUAGAUCAGCAAAAGCAAUUGUAUCAAUCGCGCAGAGCUAUUCCAGAGACAUCAUCAAGUAUGUUUUUGAAUGCUUGCAGUUGCUUACUUUGUUCUUUCUUUGUUUCUUUCUGAUCUUGUGUUAUUUAACGAAUCUAUGCAAUUUUUCCUCUGAUACUAGCACAUUUUAUCCUUGAAGCCGGAAAAAAAUCUAUUUUCCCAUAUAGCUACUAUAGUUGAUGCUAUUGUUUUUCAUUGCAUUUCUAUUACAGAAAAUAAUUUCCAUUCCAACUUGGGGGGAUUAAGAGAAUAUCUUUUUGAACUUGCACUACGUUGUCCUAUCAAAGCACAUUUUGCCUAGAUGAUUAGUUCUUAGCUAACAAAGACAAAUGCUACCAAAAUUAAUGGCACCCUUGCCUUCAUAAGCUGAUCAUGGGCACUGCCUGGCUUUUUAUGCCACCAGAAACAUUGUUGUUACUGUGGAAAACUCAGAAAUAAAAUUGUGGAAAUCUAAGAGUAAAAACUGAAUGUAUAUUGAAAAACUGCUCAUUAAGAAUUAUACAAGAACCUUAGUUUAUAUACAACUAACUAGGGGUUAAACUAGGAAACUAAAUCUUUCUAAAAAUUGAUCAUAUGAUUGAGGGAUUGUCUAUUAUUGUCUUUAAUUCUAGGGAUACAAAUACUUAAUUCUAGAGAUACAAAAAUAAAUAUACAGAUUACAAAAUUACAACCAGCUGUAAAUAAGUGUUUUCUCACACCCCCCCUCAAGCUAGUGAAUGGGUGUUUUCCAUUCCCAACUUGGAAAUAAUUUCUUGAAAUAUUGCACUGCUGAGACAUUUAGUCAACACUUCUGUAAGUUGAUCCUUGGUUGAUACAUAAGGUGUACAAAUCAACCCACUGUCUAGUUUCUCUUUUAUGAAAUGCCGGUUUACUUCAAUGUUUUUUGAUCUGUCAUUGGUCCAUCCCACUUGAUAUUCAAGUCUUCUAGAAUAAUUUUUAACCAUAGUAGUUCACAAAUUCCUUGAGCCAUUGUUCUGAACUCUGCUUCAGCACUUGAUCUUGCAACCACAUUUUGUUUUAUACUCCUCCAAGUCACGAGAUUACCACUUAAGAAAGUGCAGUAGCUUGAUGUGGAUCUUCUAUCAGUAGCUGAACUUGUAUAAUCAACAUCUAUAUAUGUUUCUAGAACUAGCCCCGAAUUUCUUUUGAAUAAGAUACCUCUCCCAAGAUUGGCCUUCAAAUAAUGUAAUACACGGUAAACAGCCUGUAGGUGCACUUCUUUAGGACUAUGUAUGAAUUGACUUACCACACUCACAACAUAUGCUAUAUCAGGUCUAGCAUGUGAGAGAUAAAUGAGUCUUCCAAUUAAUCUUUGAUACAUCUCUCUAUCUACAGCAGCAUCUUCAUUAGCUUAUCCAAUUUUAUGAUUAAGAUCUAUAGGGGUAUUUACAGGUUUACAUGCGAGCUUCUCAGUUUUCUUCAGAAGAUCCAUCACAUAUUUCUGUUGUGAGAUGAAAAUAUCAUGCCGUGAGUGAGCUACUUCAAUUCCUAGGAAUUUUUUUAAUCUUCCUAGCUCAUCUAUCUCAAAUUCCCUAGCUAAAUACAAUUUUAGAGAUUUUCUCUCUUUUUUAUCAUCUCCAGUUACAAUUAUAUCAUCAACAUACACUAAUAGAAUUGUGACUCUCCCUGAAUUAGAGUGUUUGAUAAACAAUGUGUGAUCUCCUUGACUCUGUUUAUAUCCUAUUGCUAGCAUCACUUUGACAAAUCUCUUGUACCAGACCCUAAGAGACUGUUUAAGGCCAUAUAAAGCCUUUUUCAGUUUGCAUACUUUGUUUGCUUGUAGAUGACCUCCAAAUCCCGAUGAAACCUUCAUAUAUAUUUCUUCUUCCAAAUCUCCAAGUAGAAAAGCAUUUUUUACAUCAAAUUGUUGAAGCUACCAAUUGUAAUUUGCAGCCAAUGAUAACAAAAUCUUAACUGUAUUCAUCUUGGCAAUUGAAGCAAAGGUUUUCUGAUAAUCCACUCCAUAGGUUUAAGUGUAGCCCUUAGUCACUAAUCUGGCUUUAUACCUUUCAACAUUACCAUUUGCCUUGUAUUUUACAGUGAAAACCUAUUUACGUCCUCCUGACUUUUUUCUUUUAGGCAACUCUACCAGUUCUCAUGUCUUAUUUUUCUCUAAGGUCUCCAUUUUUAUUUUCAUGGAUUACCUCCAUUUUUCACUAAAUAAUGUCUCGGAUAAUGUAGUUGGAACAAAAAUAGUGUUUAGGCUCACUAAAAAAUUUUUGUAGAAUGAUGAGAAUUUUUCAAAUGGCACAAAAUUAGAGAUUUGGUAUAGUGACUGCUUAGUACAUUCUUUGGUUUCUUUCUUAAUGGCAAUAGAAAGAUCAUAAUCACUUGUUAUAGUUUUAAGAGAUUCAUGCUCAUUUUGAAAAAUAGAGUCAAAACUGUAGUUACCUCAUUUCUAGAGUUAAGAACAAGUUCUUAGUCUGGCAUUGGUUCAGGAUCUGAAACUUUUCUUCUUGAGUACAUUUGUAAUCCCUUCAUAGAAUCAAGAACAAUAUUAUCCUUUGUCACAUCUUCUGUGUUUGAAAUGGGUUCAGACUCAAAUUCAGUGUUUGACUUGGGCUCAGCAGAAACAGGUUUCCACUUAAGAAAAUUAAUGGGUGAAAAUGUUGAAGAGAAGGACAAAUUAAACAAAAAGAAGUCUUUAUCAUUAUCUUCCAUGAAUGAAGUCUCUCCCUGAAGAUAAAGUUGAGUAAAAAAUGGUUUACUUUCUUCAAAAGAGACAUCUGCAGAUACAUAUAAUUUUUUGGUAGGAAGAUGAUAACACUUAUACUUUUUCUGAGUCACAAAGAUACACUUAAUUGCUCUUGGAUGCAAUUUUCUUUUAUUAUGACUGUGAACAUGAACAAAUGAUGUACAACCAAAUAUCCUAGGUGUGAGGUUGUUUGGGUAUUGAGGUUGGGAUAGAAUUUUGAAAGUAGUUCCAUAGGAGUUUUAAAUCUUAAAACCUUUGAAGGUAACCUAUUUAUAAUGUGUGUGGCAAUGAGAACAGCUUUCCUUCUAGUAAGAUUUGGAUACAUUUGCUUAAAAAAGGAAGGCUCGGGUUGUGACUAGUAAAUCGUUAUUUUUUCUUUCUGCCACUCCAUUCUGCUCUGGAGUAUUAACACAAUAUGGCCCAUGAAUAAUCCUCUCUUUUUGAAAAUAAGUGGAUAGACUCUAGUUGAAAUAGUCUCUUGUAUUAUCAGACCUAAAUCUCAUGAUUCUCUUCAAAUUGAUUUUGGAUCAUGUUUUGGAAGCUUAAAAAUAUACUAUUCAUAUCUGAUUUGGAUUUAAAUAAAAAACUCAAAAGAUCCUGGUACAAUCAUCUAUGAAUGAAACAAAUCAUUUUGCACUAGAAAUAUUAGAAAUUGUAGAGGAACCCUAAAUGUCUCUAUGAAUCAAGUAAAAAAGAGUAGAACUUCUUUUGUUACUAAUUGAAAAAGACACACGUCUGUGCUUUGCAAGUUCACAAACAUCACAAUGAAAAUCUUUGAUGUUUAAUCCAUUGAACAAAGAAGGAAACAUGUUUUACAAAGUUCCAAAAGAAGGAUGUCUAAGACGAAAAUGAUAAAGCUAGAUUUUGUCUUUAGUGAAAGAUUUUUCAGAAAAAAAUGACAAAGGUAAAUUAUUCUUGAUAUUACUUGUGUUGUUUGAUGUCUCAAGAUGGUAUAGUCUAUCCUUCUCUUUAGCAAGUCCAAUCUUUUUCUCCGAACUCUGGUGCUGAAAUUCACAAUAAGAGGGAUAAAAAAUCACUUUACAGUUCAUAUCUUUGGUAAGUUUUUGUGUAGAUAUCAUAUUAGUAGACAAUCCAAGAAUAUGAAAAAUAUUUUUUAGAACAAAUGAGGGAUUAAUUUGAACAUCUCUUAAUCCUACCACUGUAACAAGUGAACCAUCUGUAACAACAAUUUUCUUAUUACUAGAACACAUGUUGUAUGUACUAAACUUCUGUGAAGAAUGUGUCAUAUAGUCCAUGGCUCAUGAGUCAAUGACUCAAGAACUCGUAAUAGGCUUAACCAAGACAUUUAAUCCAUGAGAACCAAAAAUUUUACCUGAACUAGAGACCUUACUCAAGGAACAUACUACAGUAGGCUUUUCAAGGGUUCAAUAGCUUUUUCAGCUUUUCAAUCUCUUCGCUGUUCAACUCUCAUUGUUUUCGAGACAUCUAUAAUACUUCAGUAAUUUUUUCAAUUGACAUUUUCUCAAAUUGGGUGGUGGUGAUAUCUUUCUUUGAACUGAAAGAAGUCUUAAGAUAUAAUUAGAAAUAACUCUUAGCAAUGAAGGCUGAAGAAGAGAAAAAUAAAAUGGUUAUGAAGGCUUUAACAGGGUUUGGCAAUGAAGGCCUAAGCAGGGUUCGACAAUGAAGGCCUAAAAAUAAAAGUCUACAAUGAAGGUUGAAAAAUUUUGCUUCCCAAGAAGAGCCUAAAGCUCUGAUACUAUGUGAAAAACUUAGAAAUAGAGCUAUGUGAAAAACUAAGAGUAAAAACUGAAUGUAUAUUGAAAAACUGCUCAUUAAGAAUUAUACAAGAACCUUUGUUUAUAUACAACUAACUAGUGGUUAAACUAGGAAACUAAAUCUUCCUAAAAAUUGUUCCUAUGAUUGAGGGAUUGUCUAUCAUUAUCCUUAAUUUUAGGGAUACAAACACUUAAUUCUAGAGAUACAAAAAUAAAUAUACAGAUUACAAGAUUACAACCAACUGUAAAUAAGUGUUUUCCCACAGUUACCACUGUCACUGCUAAGUCUCCACUGUUGUCACUGUGCUAUUAUGUUACUCUUAACACUUACUCUAGUUAUUUUGCAAUGAUUUUGUCAAACCACAAAGCAAUGGCUGGAUUUAAUCUAUUCAUUUUAUCAACAAAUAAUUCAUGCUGUUUUAUUCAACGAGUUUUCGUGUUUGGCUAUAAAACAUUCUUCUGGAAAUAAGUAAACUGUGUUUUGUGUGCAAAGAGAAGUGACCAUUUUGUUGGUUAAGCUCAAAGAGUAGAAACAAAUGCAUAAACUCACUCAUGCCCUUCAUAUUCAUUUGAAUUUUAGAAUAGUCGGAUAUUUCUAGCAGUUUGUUUGAUUAUGUCGGGUUGGUGUGAUUCCUUUGUCCGACUUAAAUAUUGUUGUUCUUUCUUGUAAUCUAGCUUUUAAAAAUGUUCCCACCACUUAAUUUAACAAAAAAUUAUGAUUAGGAGAUUGCAGUCCUGUUUGAGAACAGCUAGUUACUGUUUUUGUAUCAAAAUAGAGGGUAAACAUGCUUGCAAAUGUCAGAGGAGUUUUGUUUGAAUGAAGAAUGCAUAACGAAUGACUAGAUAAGCAAGUGGGUGACAGCAAGCUGGUUCAUGCACGCAUGAUGGUUAAAAGGGUGUCAAAACUCAAAAUUGUCUUAGUAGUGUUUUUGAUUUAGUCUAACGGCUUUUUAUUGAAACAUUAAAAUUUGGCUGUAGAUUUAAUUAAGUUCUGGAUAUGACCUAUAUUCCUUGAGUCUAAUUUGUCCCCUAAAUUUUUUUUAGUACUUUAGUUUGGCUCGCCCAUUAUUUUGCUUGACAAUAUUAUUUUUAAUGAAUAACAACGUCUGUAGCAGAAAAUUAGUUAACUUUUUUUAGGUCUUCCUUCUCAUGAUCACUUAAACUUAUCUAUCGUUUACUCCUGUUCCAACUGAACUUCUUUUUAUAGAUGGCAAAUGUAUAGUUAGCUUGUAACUUGAGAAACUCUAUAAGUAGCCUUGAAAAAUAAGAAUGAUGUUUGAACUUGGAGUUUGUCUCUGUGUCACAAUGGAAAGUCAAAAUUAAAAAAUUUUCUACUUUUGUAAGUGUACAUCUUAGAAUAUCCCAAAAGUAAAAGGCAGUGGAAAUGGGGUGUAGCGAUCAUGUUUUUAAUGAGUAACCUCUAAAAUUUGGAUACGCAUGGUUAGUUGCAGAAACUAGCAAUAAAAUUUUCUCAUAUGUCAAUGUCCAAAAUGUUUAAUGGUUUCUUCAAAUGCCUUUCAGUUGUAAGUCGUGGUGGGUCUGAUGGAAUUUUGGGACAUAGGAAUUGAUUAUUGGUUGCGUUAUGAUCCCUGUCGAUAUCCCCAUCAAUGCUAUGUGUACUUUAAUUUGCUUUCAGAGUUGGUUGUUUUUUGCUCAUAAUUUACCCUUCUUCCAUAAAUUAUCUAUUUCAAUGUUCUGUUACAUAUGCAACAAAAAUAAUGUACCUUCAAGCGAAUGGAACAAUUUUCUUUCAUUUAAAUUAUGUUUUCCUUGCGUAUUCUUCUUCCUUCAUAAAUUUCCAUUUUUCUUAUGUGUGUAGAAUUUAUUUAUCCUUUUCUUUUAGCAUCUUUGGAUUCCACAGCUUAAUCAGGACAUGCAAAUGGGGGUGAUUGGCAAGAAGAGGUCUAUCAAAAGGUAAAAACUAUCUUGACUUAUUCUCCUAUAGAUAUUAUUACAGUUUCAACUUGGUUUUAAGAAGGUUUUAGGUGUAGGAAAGUGGUUCUGAAAAAGAAUAUUAGAGUAUGUUGGGAUGCAUCUCAUAGCAGGAACCAUAAAACUGAAGAAGUAGGAACUUAAAACAAAUUUGGUAAAAGAAAUUCAGACAUUUUCUGAAUUACUUACUACUUUGUUAAUAAGAACUUGAAUUCUUUUGGCUUGUUCUUAGAAGAAAGAAAAUAAAGUUUAUUUAAAUCCUUCAGCUCUCUACUAAAGAUCUAUUAAAAUUGGUGAGCAAGAAGCCUUAGACCAAGGGUAUCUUGCAUACUUGACUUCAAAGUAAUCAUCAUUUAUCGACACCUUUGUUUCUUUUGUUAUUAACUAAUAUCAGCGCCUGCUAGUCAGAAAAUGGAAAAAUCUUAUUAUUUUUCUAAUAAAUCAUGACACUGGGAUAAAUUGAGUGGUUUAAUCGUUGGUUAAGCAUUUUGAUCCUGAUUUUAUGUUGCAGAUCAAGGCCAUGAAAGAGACAUACUUACCUGAAUUAAAUGAGAUGUACCAAAAAAUUGCUGCCAAGUUGCGGCAGGUAUGUUUAUUCUUUUACAUAAUCAUAUAUAUUCAUUCCCUAACCUCCAAGGAGUGAUAGAACCCAUCUGCCCCAUAGUCUGCCACCCUGUGUCUCUAAAUAGAAUUUAGAGAGGACUUUACUGCUCCACAUUAGAAAGCUGUUGAACCCAUACCACUUUUAGGUUGCUACUUGAAUCCCCUUACCAUAGACACUGUUUAGUGGUUGCACUUAUGCAUAUCUGUUGUAAUAGUGGUUUGUAGUUUUACUUGCAUCAGUUGAAACAAUUUUAUGUGUACGAUUUUCCAGCAUGAUUCUCUUCCACAGUAGCCAAAGUCAGAGCAGCUUGAAAAGUUAAAAAUGUUCAAGAUCUUGUUGGAGCACAUUAUAUCUUUCUUAUCAGUUCCCAAAGCCAGUAUCUUACCAACUUUCAAGGAUAAGUUGAGUUUGAAUGAGAAGCAGAUAGUAAAUUUUUUAAAUACCAGUAGGCCAAGGAAGGCAGUCUCAGCACGGCAGCAAGGACAGCUUCCUCAAUGAUAUGCAUUCCAUGCCGCAACCACAACCUCAAAUUAAUCAGACACAGUCUCAUGAUAAUCAAAUGAACCAUCAGUUGCUGUCAACGAAUUUACAAGGUUUUGUUCCAACAAUGCAGCGGAACAACAUGACAAGUUUGCAGUAUAAUUCUGUGUCUUCCUUACCUGGGGUUGCAACAGCGCAGCAGACCAUGUUAAAUUCCCUGCAGCCAAGUUCCAAUUUGGAUGCGGGACAAGGUAAUGGCCUAGGCUCAAUGCAUUCUCAGAAGCCUUGGUAGCAUUCUCAGAAGCCAACUAACAAUUAAUUCUUUAGUGAAUAGCAAUUGGUUGAGUAUUAGCAUUGCUUUCCACUGAUGUGCUGGUCUAGUGGUGAAAGUAGUGGUGUUUUAGUGAGUUACAGUCCUCCUUAGGUGCAUGACCAAUGGCCUAGGACAGAGAGAAAAAUCGGAAUCUUAAGAGCCUUGUGAAGAAGGGUUUCCUAGUAUUAGUAUUAAAUCAACCAAAUUGACAUCCAAUUGUAAAGUUGUGGUUUACAUAGCAAACCAUCAUGUUCAACUUAAGUCAUGGUUGUAGGGUGUCUGUGAGUGUCUAGUAACAUGUCUUGUCAUUUUGUAAGAGUGCGGCAAAUGAUGUAUACUGUCCACUUUAUCUUACAACAUUAACAAAAAUGAAAUCCUGCUCUUAUGUAUAAAUUUGUGGUUGCAAAAACUGUGUUUUACCCCGAGUUUCUUAUCAAGAGAAGGGGGUUGUUUACUGAAAAGAGCUUUGUCAAAUGUUUUGCAUAUUUGAGAAGUGAUUUGUGUCCAAACUUACAAGUUUUUCUUUUUCACUUCCUUUAAUAUAUGACAAAAAAUUUGAUGUGAAUUGUUUGUGACUUUUCUUUUCUCUUUUGAUGUUGUCAGAAUUUGAUGGAUACCAAUAACUGGAGGCCUACUCCUGCCAGUGGAGAGCCCACCAUGGAUACAGGUGAUUGGAGAACCCAGUUGCAGCCUGAUUCACGACAAAGAAUUGUCAACAAGAUGUAAGUGAAUUUUAUGGUAUUAUUAUUUGUUAAAUAUACUUGUUGUAUUUAAGUUACUGAUAUUCUGUGGCAUGUCUUUUACAGUUUCAAUAUUGUUAAUAACCAAACAAUACCAUCAAUAAAACCAUAUAUCCUAUUCUAGAGCGCAUUCUUUGUUUUGUAAAUACAUAGCUCGAAAAUCAAAGCUUGCUCUUACCCAGAGUUUGGGCACAAUAUAUGGAUCACGUAUCUGGAAGCCUGAUGUGGCAAAGCUAUUGGGUCCAAUUCUGUGUGGCGUACUUGGUAUCGACAUUUAAUGAAUUUAUGUGAUUGAAUGAGGAUAAAUUUUACUUUUAGAUCUUUUGCUUCUUGGAAGCUUGGGACUUGUUUUCUCAUUCGAGUGCUACAGUAUAUGAAUUGAUGGUUCUCUUUUCCUCUUACUAACUCAAUUAUACCCAUUCAUUAAAUAACUUAUAGCUGUAACGGACACUAGUGGUCUUGCUUUUCUAUAUCAUUUUAUGAACGAUGGUAAUUUUGGUAUGUGGUCUAUUUGAAUGUAGCUGAUAUCUGAAGGUCAUGAUGGCCACUUUGUUUAUUUGGGAGAACUUUGUUAAAUUCCAAUGCCAUGGCUUCUGGAUAUUUGAAUGAGUCGGUCCUGAACAAGUUAAUGAGGAAAAUCUUUUGGUGGUCAGAUUAUAUCCUGGUUGAUUUUCAUUUGAUUUUAUGUUAACUUCACAAUUUGGUCAUGGCAUUGUUUUAUUAACCAUGGAAGAUUCUUAUAUAUAUCCUAUUGGUUUGUCGAUACCUUACACAAUGCCUUGUGUGCAUAGAAUGGACACAUUGAAGAGGCACCUCCAUUUUCUGGGCCAAGAGGGUUUAAAUGACUCAGGAAAAAUCGCAGUAAAGGUUUUUCGAAGGAAAAGAUUUUUUACAGCAGCAAACAGCCAGGUAAUCAUAGAAUAUUGGCAUUCUUAACCUGCUUGGAUUGCCAUUGUUGUUUACCUAUAUUUUGUUUGUUUCGCGUUGUGUGUAUGUAUCUUUGUGUUUCUUUUUUUUCUUAUUUAAUAUGUAUACGAAUGCAUACACCUAGACUCCUUGUCAUUACAUUGGAAGUAAAAUAAGAAAAGAAAUCCAGGGAGUGAAAGGAGAGCAGAGGUAGGAAAAACAAAGAUGCCUAAAUGGAUAUUAAGCAUGGUUAAUAUAACAUAUUUGGACAAUCUUGUCUUGUAUUUGAAUAAUGAAGUAAAGCUUGUUUACUCUAAUGCUGUAGAUGGAUUUCUAUAUUCAGUCUGAUUAUCUAAGGAGAAUAUCCUUGAAGAUGCUUACUAUGGAGAAACAGUCUGAGAAUACCAUACCCAACACUGGGAAUAACAGCAAGGCCCCUGAUCCAGGUAAUUGCAGGAAACAGCAUUUUGCUUUGAUGUAAUCUAGAAGGAGGACAUUUUCCAUUUACAUGUCCUUUCUGUUCUUUAACAUGAAGAGUUGUUUAACUUGCAACAUUUAUGCACAUAUUCUUUCUGCAGCUAUUUGAAUGAAAAUUACCUAUAUUUUAACUCUUUUGUCCCCUUAACAAAGCGUGGUUGUUUUGGUGGGUUGGAGUUGUUUAAGGGAUAGAUUUGAUAAGCACCCAAAUAGAAAGCCCCAUUUGCUGUUCCCAUGAUUGAAGUCCUUCAGCAUGGGAUGCACCUCUUCAUGUGCUAGGCCUAGGAAUAAUUUUAUUAUUUUUUUCAUGAUCCUCAUGGUAUGGUUCAAUUGCCCUCACAGGUUUUAAGUCUAGUCAUCUUUUUGAAUGAAUUAAUUACUGCUUCAGUAUUUUUGUUGUUUAUCUUGUUCUAAAUGUUCUUCAAUUCAGUUCUUGUGGGUUCUUCCCAACUUUUCUUUCUGAAUAUAAGAAUCUUGGGUAGGUUCUGAGGGCAUGCAAAACCAAGUUCACAGUCAAGGGCAAUCAAUUCCUAUCCCAUUACAAAGUAAUCAGUCUCAAGCACAUCAACAACUGUUACCCCAGAGUGUUCCAAAUAACAUGUCAUCUGCUGGAGUUCAAAGUUCUACUGGUUUACAAUCUGGGAUGCCUUCUGUGUCUGGUCCAACCCAGAAUUCUAUACCUAAUGUUGUUGGCCAGAAUUCCAACAUGCAAAACUUGUCUGAAAUUUCACAGAACUCACUGGGGCAAGGGAUAUCUUCCAAUAUUUGUACUAAUCAUCAGAGGCAAAUGCAAGGAAGGCAACAGGUGCUACCGCAACAGCAGCAGCACCUUUGCUUGCAGGGUUCGAAAUUACCUGCACCUGACACACCUGGUAAUGGUAUGUCAACAUCACCUUUGCUUGCAGGGUUCGAAAAUGCUAAUGAUACUCACAGUAAUGCUUUAACAACUGAUUUUGGCGAGUCGAAGGAUACAGAAGAGCCACAUGUUCCCAGAGUUACCAUGGUUAGUGGAGCUUAAUUAAUUUUCAUUCUUCGCAUGCUCUUUUUUCAAUUUUCCCCUUUGACUUGAUAUGUUGUUCAUGUGGUGAAAGAGUGGUAAAAAAGCUUGAAAUCCUUCUCUUUUGUUUUUUUUCCUUUUGAUUUUAUCUUCUAGUAUAGUUUGUUUUAGCUUUUGAAAUGAUUUUGGUCUAUUACUAUUUGGUAUGUUUCAGGCAAAACCCAUGUCACUUAAAUCAUUGGAGGCAUCUGUUGUCGUCAUGGUUGAGGAGGCAGCCACUGCCGUUGGUGUGGAUAUGGCCGUCUUGAGCAAGGGUGGUCUGCAUCGAAGAAAUUUCCUUCCACAAACUGGAAUGACUGGAGCCGAGAAAAUGAGAUUCUACAUGAGUGCACUGGCUAUAUUAGCUCUAAUGUUUUGGUUCAUUAUAAUAGCAUCUGCAUGAGCAGUAGCAAACAAAUUUCCAAAGCUUUUAAUAUUUGGUUAAAGGAGGAAAGACGCAUUGGUUAUGGCAUGGAUUUCUCUCCUAAUAAGUCAUGACUAUUGACUGAUGAUACUAUUACGACAAAUUGUUGACAGGUGUUUGCUUAUUUAAAGGUUUUUGAACUUGUUUACAUUCCUAUCAAAUAUAUUAGGAGAUGCAUGCAUCAAAGUUCAUGCCGUUUAAGCCUCAGUGCAUGCAGUUUCUGACCAAUCUAGCCAUGUAAUAACACUAAUUAUCUAACUAAACACAUAAUUUGACCCUAGCUUUUUUUAUCAAGUGACAAGGGUGUUUAGGGUUUUAUGUUUGGGUCGAUCUAAGGUUAUUCAAUGCCUUUAGGUGAAGAGCCAUCUAGAUUAGAAAUACCUAGAUGUAAUAAGGGAUAAUGAUCACUUUUAUUUUUCAAGAGGAAAGAGAGAAAAAGAAGGUAAAGUUGGUAUUGAUUUGACGAAAUGUCACAUUUGUAGUCAAAUUUGCUAAAUAUUUAUUGAUGGAAGUGGACCCUUGCAUGUAAUGCACUGCCUGCAGAAAUUGGUCCCCUUUUAUUGCUUAAGAUUCUUACUCACUAAGGGAUCUUUCUUUUCUUUUCUUUUUUUUUUUAAUAAUAUCAUUAUGACUAUUCUUAGAUUUUGCGGAAAUUUAAUUUUUUAGAUAAUUUUAAGAAUAUAUUUUUUCAUAUAAAUCUCAUGUAUAUACUUUUUUUUUUGUUCAAAAUAUGUCAUUUAUUAAUUUUAACAAAUUUUAAGAAAAAAAUUUAGAUUUUAGUGUGUUUAAUUUUAAAAUUUAAAAAUUUUUUUAAAUUAAAGUUUUAAGACUUUUAAUGUCAAAAAGUUAAAAAAAUCUAAAAUUUAAUUUUAAAAUAUAAAAAAUAAAUUUUUUAAAUGUUAAAAAAAUCCAACAUUAUUUGAGACAUUUCAAAAAGGAAAGAUUGAAAAAAAAAAGGACAAAAAGAAUAUGAUUUUAUUUUUAUAUAUUUUUCAUAAAAAAUGAAUCCUAAUUAAUACGAAUAAAAAUGUAAAAAAAAAAAAGAAAAAGACAACCACAGAAAUCCAAACUUGGAAGGAAAAAAAAAAAAAAAGAUUAAGUGGGCAACUUCAACAAGCAAGGUUCGCAUUAAUAAAUUCCAAAUGUUGCCAUGUAAUUGUAACCUAAUCAUUUUCACUAAAAUUACUACAACAAUUUUGAUUUUAACUGGCGAUUUUUGAUUAAAAAUGUAAAUGAUAAAUUAAUAUUCAUAAGGUAUUUGGGUUCGAUUUGAAUAAAACUCAAAUUCGAUUUGAUUAUUAUUAAAUCAAGUUCGAGUUCGAAUAACUCGAUUCAUCGAUCGAAUCGAGUUUGAAUAUUUUAAUAUUCAGUUCGAGUAAUUUGUUAGUGUAAUCGAAUUUUUAUAUUUAAAAUUUUUUUAUUAUUUUAAUAAAUAAAAUAUCUCAAAUUCGAGUUCGAAUUCAAGCACAAAUAAUCAAGUUUUUAUUGAGCAUAAAAAUUAAACUUAUUUUUAUAUAUUUUUUAGCUUAAUCGAACGAAUUCAAAUAGUUUGAAUUCGAUUACGAAUCGAAUUCAAAAUAAAAAAAAAAAUUCAAUCGAAUUUAAAUUAAAUAUCAAAUAACGAGUUGAGAAUCAAGCUAUAAUUUAAAAUUUUCAUUAUAUCACUUAACUCUUACUUUUGACAAUAAUUUUGUGAAAAAGUGAAAGAGUGGCUUAAGAAAUUUUAGCCCACGAUUUUUACCGUUGUCAAAGGUAAACUUUUUGUAGUAAGGAAGUGAUAAACUCAAUGGCCUUCAAGUUUUUUCUUUUUUUCUUGCUUUCGAAUCUAAGAGCACCAUUUUUUUUUUCGUGCUAAUCGACUUGCUAGAAUUUUUUUUUUUUUAAUUUGAAUUCAAAAAUUUUAAUUUUAAAAUCAAUUUUAAUAUUAUUAAAUUAAUUUAUCAUUAUUCAUUAUUAAGUAAAAUUUUAUAUAUCAAUCUUAAAGAUGAAUUAUAAUUAUUAUACAUCAAAUUCAAUUUUUAUCUAUUUUAAUGUAUAUUGUAUUUUCCUUGAUAACAUAUUGAUUUGUUAAGAAUUGAUUUUCUUUUAUGUAAAAACUUGUUUAUUUGACUAAUUAUGUUUGUAAUAUUUAUUUGUAAAUGUAUUAAGCUAAUUAUGUCUCAUAAAAGAAUUUGGGUCUUGGAAGAAAAUUGAAUAAUUUAGUUAAAUUAUAUAAUAAUCAACUAAUACUUCAUUAUUAUAAAUAAAUGAAUUACAACUAGAUCUAUUAAAUUAUAAAAAAAUUACAAUUAAAUUUGAUAAUUUUAAAUAUGAUAUAUUGAUAUAAUAUAAAAAUUAUAUAAAAAGUAAAAAAAAUAAUAUGAUUUAGGAUUUUAAACAAAAUAAUAUGAAAUUUAAAUAACAAAAAAUAUAUUUUAUUUUUAACGUAUUAAUAUAAAUUUUGCAAUGAUAAUUUUAAACAAAUUAAAUACAAAAUAAACAUGAAAUAAAUAUAAAAAUUAUCUAAUUACAACACUCCUUAUUAAGUUGGUUAGGAAAUUAGGAAAAUUUUCACCAUUGAUUUUGUAUCAAUUUUGUCAAAAAAUAUAAGAAGAAAAAAUCAAAAGAAUUUCACAUUUUCCAAUACAAGUUUUUUAUAAAAACAAUACUAACAUAUUUUAUUUUGAUAAAUAAAUUUCAAACAGACAAAUUAUUUACAAAUAAAAUAACAUUAAAAUUUGAAUCUAAAAUUAUUUUUUAACUGAAGUGUAGGAACCAACUUUAAUUGCUUCAAUUAAUUUUAUUAUAACAAAAAAAUGGUUAAUUCCAAAAUAAAAAUGCAUGAUUGCAAAAAUAAUGUCAACAAAAAAAAAAAUUUGAAAGAGAAAAUUCAAAAGUGUAAGGAAGGAAAACAAUAAAAGUCAAAAUUGAGAAAAAAAAAUCAAAAUUAGGGUUUUUUUUUUUCUUUUUUAAAUCGUCAUUAUUUGUGGACAUGAAAAAAAAAAAUAAAAACAAAAACCCAGACAAUUUGCAAAGAUAUGUCCCUAUAAAAGCCAUUGCCAUGCACUUCAAUCCAACACAUGACCUUCUUUCCCUCCUCACCGUCUUAGCUUCUUUUAUCUCUUUCUUUUCUCUCACUUUCUUUUCAACCACACAAAUAAAUUUCAGUUGGUUGUCCUCCUUUUAUUUUCUUCUAACAAUAUUUAUUUAUACGUUAGAGUUAGAUAUUUUUCCAAUUAUGCCAAAAAGAAACAAAAAAGAAAUUUUAUAAUUUAUUCUCCGUAUAAUCAAAGAUAAUCUGAGGCGUGGGUUUAAUUCAAUCUGGGAUUUGGUAUUUGAAAAAAAAAAUUCUUGAGGAAUUGUCGAAGCGGAUUUCUCUUAGGAGCUCUUCGUUGAGGUAAAAAUUUCAAACUUUUUAUAGGUUUUACGAUUCUGUUGCCUUAAUUUCCUCGAAAAUCUUACCUGGGAAUAUGUUUUUGACUGUAAGAAUAAAAGAUUUCAUUUUUUAUUUAAUAUCACCAGGUAAUUAACUUUGUAUUUUUUUAAUCGUUUUGCUGUAAAAAAAAUUAGAAAGCUUGCUAGAAUAUUUGGAUACUCAAUAAUGAAAGCAACCCCCAAAAGCAGAUUAUUUCUAUUAAACAUAAUUUAAAUCAUGGAUUUUGUUAAUAUUUCUCAUUCUCUUUCUCUUUGUUUUUUCAUUUAAUGAUAUAUGAUAAAGUUCUAGUUAUGGGGGCUGAUUUCAUUGGGAAAAUGUCAAAUAUUUAGCUAGAAAAGUUUCAAGUGCAGUUGUUUUUGGUUAGAAGGCUCAACCUUCUAACCGUGAGCCUUGGUAGCAUUCUCAGAAGCCAACUAACAAUUAAUUCUUUAGUGAAUAGCAAUUGGUUGAGUAUUAGAACUGCUUUCCAGUGAUGUGCUGGUCUAGUGGUGAAAGUAGUGGUGUUUUAGUGAGUUACAGUCCUCCUUAGGCGGAUGACCAAUGGCCUAGGACAGAGAGAAAAAUCGGAAUCUUAAGAGCCUUGUGAAGAAGGGUUACCUAGUAUUAGUAUUAAAUCAACCAAAUUGACAUCCAAUUGUAAAGUUGUGGUUUACAUAGCGAACUAUCAUGUUCAACUUAAGUCAUGGUUGUAGGGUGUCUGUGAGUGUCUAGUAACAUGUCCUGUCAUUUUGUAAGAGUGCGGCAAAUGAUGUAUACUGUCCAAUUUAUCUUAAAACAUUAACAAAAAUGAAAUCCUGCUCUUAUGUAUAAAUUUAUGGUUGCAAAAACUGUGUUUUACCCGGAGUUUCUUAUCAAGAGAAGGGGGGUGUUUAUUGAAAAGAACUUUGUCAAAUGUUUUGCAUAUUUGAGUAGUGAUUUGUGUCCAAACGUACAAGUUUUUCUUUUUCACUUCCUUUAAUUUAUGACAAAAAAUUUGAUCUGAAUUGUUUGUAACUUUUCUUCUCUCUUUUGAUGUUGUCAGAAUUUGAUGGAUACCAAUAACUGGAGGCCUACUCCUGCCAGUGGAGAGCCCACCAUGGAUGCAGGUGAUUGGAGAACCCAGUUGCAGCCUGAUUCACGACAAAGAAUUGUCAACAAGAUGUAAGUGAAUUUUAUGGUAUUAUUAUUUGUUAAAUAUACUUGUUGUAUUUAAGUUACCGAUAUUCUGUGGCUUGUCUUUCACGGUUUCAAUAUUGUUAAUAACCAAACAAUACCAUCAAUAAAACCAUAUUUCCUAUUCCAGAAUGUUUUCUUUGUUUUGUAAAUACAUAGCUCGAAAAUCAAAGCUUGCUCUUACCCAGAGUUUGGGCACAAUGUAUGGGCCACGUAUCUGGAAGCCUAAUGUGGCUAAGCUAUUGGUGGCAUACUUGGUAUCGUCAUUUAAUGAAUUUAUGUGAUUGAAUGAGGAUAAAAUUUGCUUUUAGAUCUUUUGCUUCUUGUAAGCUUGGGACUUGUGUUCUCAUUUGAGUGCUACAGUAUAUGAAUUGAUGGUUCUCUUUUCUUCUUACUAACUGAAUUAUACCCAUUCAUUAUAUAACUUAUAGCUGUAACGGACACUAGUGGUCUUGCUUUUCUAUAUCAUUUUAUGAACGAUGGUUAUUUUGGUAUGUGGUCUAUUUGAAUGUAGCUGAUAUAUGAAGGUCAUGAUGGCCACUUUGUUUAUUGGGGGGAACUUUGUUAAAUUCCAAUGCCAUGGCUUCUGGAUGUUUAAAUGAGACAGUCCUGAACAAGUUGAAGAUGAAAAUCUUUUGGUGGUCAGAUUAUAUCCUGGUUAAUUUUCAUUUGAUUUUAUGUUAACUUCACAGUUUGGUCAUGGCAUUCUUUUAUUAACCAUGGAAGAUUCUUAUAUAUAUCCUAUUGGUGUGUCAAUAACUUACACAAUGCCUUGUGUACAUAGAAUGGACACAUUGAAGAGGCUCCUUCCAUUUUCUGGCCAAGAGGGUUUAUAUGAACUCAGGAAAAUCGCAGUAAGGUUUGAGGAAAAGAUUUUUACAGCAGCAAACAGCCAGGUAAUCAUAGAAUAUUGGCAUUCCUUAACCUUCUUGGAUGCAUUGUUGUUUGCCUAUAUUUUGUUUGUUUGCGUUGUGUGUAUGUAUCUUUGUGUUUCUUUUUUUUUCUUAUUCAUAUGUAUAGACAUGCAUACACCUAGACUUCUUGUCAAUUACAUUGGAAGUAAAUAAGAAAGAAAUCCAGGUAGGAAAGAGAGCAGAGGUAGGAAAAAACAAAAAUGCUUGAUGCUAACUCAUUAUUAAGCAUGGUUAAUAUAACAUAUUCGAUAAUCUUGUCUUGUAUUUGAAUAAUGAAGUAAAGCUUAUUUACUCUAAUGCCGUAAUGGAUUUCUAUAUUCAGUCGGAUUAUCUGAGGAGAAUAUCCUUGAAGAUUCUUACUAUGGAGAACAAGUCUCAGAAUACUAUGCCCAACUCUGGGAAUAACAGCACGCCCCCUGAUCCAGGUAAUAGCAGGAAACAGCAUUUUGCUUUGAUGUAUGCUACAAGUAGGACAUUUUCCGUUUACAUGUCCUUUCUGUUCUUUAACAUGCAGAGUUGUUUAACUUGCAACAUUUAUGCACAUAUUCUUUCUGCAGCUAUUUGAAUGAAAAAUACCUAUAUUUUAACUCUUUUGUCCCUUAACAAAGCGUGGUUGUUUUGGUGGGUUGGAGUUGUUUAAGGGAUUGAUUUGAUGAGCACCCAAACAGAAAGGCCUAUUUGCUGUUCCCGUGAUUGUAGUCUUUCUGCAUGGGAUGCACCUCUUCAUGUGCUAGCCUAGGAAUAAUUUGAUUAUUUUUUCAUGAUCCUCAUGGUAUGAUUCAAUUGCCCUCACAUGUUUUAAGUCUAGUUAUCUUUUUGAAUGAAUUAAUUACUGCUUCAGUAUUUUUGUUGUUUAUCUUGUUCUAAAUGUUCUUCAAUUCAGUUCUUGUGGGUUCUUCCCAACCUUCCUUUCUGAAUAUAAAAAUCUUGGGUAGGUUCUCAGGGCAUGCAAAACCAAGUUCACGGUCAAGGGCAAUCAAUUCCUAUCCCAUUACAAAGUAAUCCGUCUCAAGCACGUCAACAACUGUUACCCCAGAGUGUUCCAAAUAACAUGUCAUCUGCUGGAGUUCAAAGUUCUACUGGUUUACAAUCUGGGAUGCCUUCUGUGUCUGGUCCAACCCAGAAUGCCAUACCUAAUGUUGUUGGCCAGAAUUUCAACAUUCAAAACUUGUCUGAAAUUUCACAGAACUCACUGGGGCAAGGGAUAUCUUCCAAUAUUUUUACUAAUCAGCAGAGGCAAAUGCAAGGAAGGCAACGGGUGCUACUGCAACAGCAGCAGCAGCAACUAUACCAUCAGCAGUUACAACAGCAACUUAUGAAGCAAAAGAUUCAACAAGGAAAUCUCCAGCCUUCACUUAUGCAGUUUCACAUGCCGCAACAGCAACAGCAAAACCUGUUACCACCUACUCAGUUGCAAUCUUCCCUGCAAUCUGGUAUGCAAACAUCAGCCGUUAUGCAGCCAUCUGCCAUGCAAUCAACUCCUCUUACUGGUCUUCAGAAGAAUCAACAAUCUUCUCUGCAAGAGUCAAUACAGUCCAUGCUUCAGCAGCAUGAACAGCCACAAUCGGCCACCAGUGUUGGUAUUCUUCAACCACAAACAGCAAUGACACGGCAGUCAAUGAUGCCUCAGCAGCAGCAACAGCCUCCACAGCCACAGCAACAGCUGCAGCAGCCAAACAUAAUGGGACAACAGACAAAUGCUGCAAAUAUACAGCAGAAUCAGUUAAUUGGACAACAAAAUAGCAUUGUGGACAUGCAGCAGCAGAGAUUGCUAGGCCAGCCUAAUAAUAUUCCAAACCUGCAGCAGCAGCAGCAGCAUCAGUUAAUGGCUGAACAAAACCUCUCAAAUAUCCAUCAGCAACAGUUGGGUCCUCAAAGUAAUAUUUCAGGAUUACGGCAACAGCAGCAACAGCAAUUGAUUGGAACCCAGUCGGGUAACUCAAGCAUGCAAACUAAUGAGCACAUGCUACCCCAGCCUAAGGUUUCACUUCAACAAACGCAGCAGAGUGCACCUAAUUUGUUACCAACUCAGGGACAGACAUCCCAGCAGCCCCAGCAGCAGCAGCAGCAACAGCAACAGCAACUGAUGUCACAGAUGCAAUUACAGUC
This 30587-nucleotide long non-coding RNA is filed under the name Durio zibethinus. Its description in RNAcentral is "long non-coding RNA (DZIB_LNC001230)". Lineage: Eukaryota; Viridiplantae; Streptophyta; Magnoliopsida; Malvales; Malvaceae. The record is from RNAcentral.